This 375-nucleotide ribosomal RNA is filed under the name uncultured Helicobacter sp. RNAcentral describes it as "bacterial SSU rRNA". It matches the Rfam family "Bacterial small subunit ribosomal RNA", at positions 275 to 667 of the family's 1533-position model. The record is from RNAcentral. Lineage: Bacteria; Pseudomonadati; Campylobacterota; Epsilonproteobacteria; Campylobacterales; Helicobacteraceae.
UAUGACGGGUAUCCGGCCUGAGAGGGUGAUCGGACACACUGGAACUGAGACACGGUCCAGACUCCUACGGGAGGCAGCAGUGGGGAAUAUUGCUCAAUGGGCGAAAGCCUGAAGCAGCAACGCCGCGUGGAGGAUGAAGGUUUUAGGAUUGUAAACUCCUUUUGUUAGAGAAGAUAAUGACGGUAUCUAACGAAUAAGCACCGGCUAACUCCGUGCCAGCAGCCGCGGUAAUACGGAGGGUGCAAGCGUUACUCGGAAUCACUGGGCGUAAAGAGUGCGUAGGCGGGAAAAUAAGUCAGAUGUGAAAUCCUAUGGCUUAACCAUAGAACCGCAUUUGGAACUAUUUUUCUAGAGUGUGGGAGAGGUAGGUGGAAU